Molecule: long non-coding RNA, 955 nt
Filed under: Triticum aestivum (bread wheat)
Lineage: Eukaryota; Viridiplantae; Streptophyta; Magnoliopsida; Poales; Poaceae
Description: long non-coding RNA (TAES_LNC022592)
Source: RNAcentral
CUUUGAGUACAUCUCAUCUGCAUCAUUAUUAAAAAAUUAAUGACAUGAGCUACUUAGAAAAAUACUGUUCUUGAUAUGGCAAAGCACUGAAUCAAACAAUUCAUUUGCCCAUGACUUUAGAUUUCUGACAAUUUACUCACAAGGACAAGAAAAGUGCAGAUGCUUUAGAACAUGCCAACACAAAAAUGUAAAUAUGUAAAAGAAGUGGGCAUGAGGGAACAGAGAUGAUGGUAUUUACAAGGAGAUUAUGAAGCUGAAAAAUUCUCCCUCUGAUGGCCAGUUAUGAGAUAACCAAUCUUCAGACAUUGAAAGAGAGGCCUCUGGUAUGCCUUUUGUUGGGAAGAUUUGCCCUGAAGUAAGAAGGCAGUGAGAGUAAAAGUUGGGAACACAACUUGCCGUAGAGCUUAAUCCAAUUUUUGAAAUCAUUCAUCUAUCUAUUUUCAACUGCAAUCAUAAACAAUACAACCACUAUAUUGGCAUUACCAGAUGGUACAACAGAGUAUAGCUAGCAGCAACGGAAAAUCUGAAGCUCUUUACCCUUUGCAUCCAUGGCUGACCCAUCUUAUCAGUCAUAACUACCAUUGAAAUUCACAUGUACAAACAAUGCAGUGGUUGUACAAGUGCACAAUCCAGAUGCCAUUCUUUGUGAAGGGAAUUGGAAUAGGCAGUAGUACCUUUAUUGUCAACGUAGUGGUCAUGGUCGCGACGCAGUCACAGGGCAAAGGUGGAGGCCAUGACGACCCUCGUUGGAUAGGACCUAGCUGGCUCCAGCUUGCCACCGUCAAGGCCCACCACAACAGCGAGCUCUCCUUUGUGCUGCACACAGAAAAGGGGUGGAUCCGGAUCGAACACACACACACACACACAGAGAAAGGGAAGGAUCAGGAGGCACUCCUGUGCGUAAGGGAGGGAUGGGACUCGAGGGAGUUGACCGACCAAUGGAGAGUGGAUGCAG